This 443-nucleotide ribosomal RNA is filed under the name uncultured bacterium. RNAcentral describes it as "partial 16S ribosomal RNA". It matches the Rfam family "Bacterial small subunit ribosomal RNA", at positions 338 to 795 of the family's 1533-position model. The record is from RNAcentral.
CCUACGGGAGGCAGCAGUGGGGAAUAUUGCACAAUGGGCGAAAGCCUGAUGCAGCAACGCCGCGUGAAGGAAGAAGGGUCUCGGCUUGUUAACUUCUAUUUACAGGGACGUAAGAAAUGACGGUACCUGACUAAGAAGCCCCGGCUAACUACGUGCCAGCAGCCGCGGUAAUACGGAGGGGGCACGCGUUAUCCGGAAUUACUGGGUGUAAAGGGUGAGUAGGCGGCAUGGUAAGCCAGAUGUGAAAGCCUUGGGCUUAACCCGAGGAUUGCAUUUGGAACUAGCAAGCUAGAGUACAGGAGAGGAAGGCGGAAUUCCUGGUGUAGCGGUGAAAUGCGUAGAUAUUAGGAAGAACACCGGUGGCGAAGGCAGCUUUCUGGACUGAAACUGACGCUGAGGCACGAAAGCGUGGGGAGCGAACAGGAUUAGAUACCCGUGUAGUC